ACCCCACUAUGCCAAGUUGUAAACCUUAACUUACACCCUCAUCGCCUGGGAACUACGAGCCAAGCUUAAAACCCAAAGGACUUGACGGUGCCCCACACUUCCUAGAGGAGCCUGUCCUGUAAUUGAUAACCCCCGCUAAACCUCACCAUUCUUUGCUUUUCAGCUUGUAUACUUCCGUCGUCAGCUAACCACAUGAGUGAAAUUUAACAAGCCUAAUGUCAUUCACCAAAACGUCAGGUCAAAGUGCAGCUAAUAGAAUGGGAACAGAUGGGCUACACUUUCUAGUAUAGAAAAUACGAAAGACUAGUAUGAAACCCAAGUCAGAAGGUGGAUUUAGAAGUAAAGAGAAAUUAGAGUGUUCUUUUUAAUCUGCUAUUGGAGCAUGUACACACCG
Molecule: ribosomal RNA, 394 nt
Filed under: Phrynopus vestigiatus
Lineage: Eukaryota; Metazoa; Chordata; Amphibia; Anura; Strabomantidae
Description: 12S ribosomal RNA
Rfam family: Bacterial small subunit ribosomal RNA
Source: RNAcentral